RNAcentral lists this ribosomal RNA (204 nucleotides) under uncultured bacterium. RNAcentral describes it as "partial 16S ribosomal RNA". It matches the Rfam family "Bacterial small subunit ribosomal RNA", at positions 1298 to 1500 of the family's 1533-position model. The record is from RNAcentral.
UUGUAGUCUGCAACCCGACUACAUGAGGCCGGAAUCGCUAGUAAUCGCGAAUCAGAAUGUCGCGGUGAAUACGUUCCCGGGUCUUGUACACACCGCCCGUCACACCAUGGGAGCCGGAAAUGCCCGAAGUCAGUGGCCCAACCUUAAAGGAGGGAGCUGCCGAAGGUGGAGCUGGUAACUGGGGUGAAGUCGUAACAAGGUAAC